RNAcentral lists this ribosomal RNA (465 nucleotides) under uncultured bacterium. Its description in RNAcentral is "partial 16S ribosomal RNA". It matches the Rfam family "Bacterial small subunit ribosomal RNA", at positions 28 to 507 of the family's 1533-position model. The record is from RNAcentral.
GACGAACGCUGGCGGCGUGCUUAACACAUGCAAGUCGAACGGAAAGGCCCCCUUGUGGGGUACUCGAGUGGCGAACGGGUGAGUAACACGUGAGUAACCUACCCUUGACUUUGGGAUAACUUCAGGAAACUGGGGCUAAUACCGGAUAGGAGCUCCUGCCGCAUGGUGGGGGUUGGAAAGUUUCGGCGGUUGGGGAUGGACUCGCGGCUUAUCAGCUUGUUGGUGGGGUAGUGGCUCACCAAGGCUUUGACGGGUAGCCGGCCUGAGAGGGUGACCGGCCACAUUGGGACUGAGAUACGGCCCAGACUCCUACGGGAGGCAGCAGUGGGGAAUAUUGCACAAUGGGCGGAAGCCUGAUGCAGCAACGCCGCGUGCGGGAUGACGGCCUUCGGGUUGUAAACCGCUUUCGCCUGUGACGAAGCGUGAGUGACGGUAAUGGGUAAAGAAGCACCGGCUAACUACGUG